This 528-nucleotide ribosomal RNA is filed under the name uncultured bacterium. RNAcentral's name for it is "bacterial SSU rRNA". It matches the Rfam family "Bacterial small subunit ribosomal RNA", at positions 980 to 1509 of the family's 1533-position model. The record is from RNAcentral.
CUUGACAUCCAGAGAACUUGGCAGAGAUGCCCUGGUGCCUUCGGGAACUCUGAGACAGGUGCUGCAUGGCUGUCGUCAGCUCGUGUUGUGAAAUGUUGGGUUAAGUCCGCAACGAGCGCAACCCCUAUCCUUUGUUGCCAGCGAUUCGGUCGGGAACUCAAAGGAGACUGCCGGUGAUAAACCGGAGGAAGGUGGGGAUGACGUCAAGUCAUCAUGGCCCUUACGAGUAGGGCUACACACGUGCUACAAUGGCGCAUACAAAGAGAAGCGACCUCGCGAGAGCAAGCGGACCUCAUAAAGUGCGUCGUAGUCCGGAUCGGAGUCUGCAACUCGACUCCGUGAAGUCGGAAUCGCUAGUAAUCGUAGAUCAGAAUGCUACGGUGAAUACGUUCCCGGGCCUUGUACACACCGCCCGUCACACCAUGGGAGUGGGUUGCAAAAGAAGUAGAUAGCUUAACCUUCGGGAGGGCGUUUACCACUUUGUGAUUCAUGACUGGGGUGAAGUCGUAACAAGGUAAGCGUAGACGU